This 253-nucleotide unclassified non-coding RNA is filed under the name uncultured Pseudomonadaceae bacterium. Its description in RNAcentral is "contains 16S-23S intergenic spacer region". It matches the Rfam family "Bacterial small subunit ribosomal RNA", at positions 524 to 776 of the family's 1533-position model. The record is from RNAcentral. Lineage: Bacteria; Pseudomonadati; Pseudomonadota; Gammaproteobacteria; Pseudomonadales; Pseudomonadaceae.
UACAGAGGGUGCAAGCGUUAUUCGGAAUUACUGGGCGUAAAGCGCGCGUAGGUGGUGGGUUAGGUCGGAUGUGAAAGCCCCGGGCUCAACCUGGGAACUGCAUCUGAAACUGGACGACUAGAGUACAGUAGAGGGUAGUGGAAUUUCCUGUGUAGCGGUGAAAUGCGUAGAUAUAGGAAGGAACACCAGUGGCGAAGGCGACCACCUGGACUGAUACUGACACUGAGGUGCGAAAGCGUGGGGAGCAAACAGG